RNAcentral lists this non-coding RNA (27 nucleotides) under Mus musculus (house mouse). The record is from RNAcentral. Lineage: Eukaryota; Metazoa; Chordata; Mammalia; Rodentia; Muridae.
UGGAGCCUCAGAUAACAGAAGCCAUGG